Molecule: ribosomal RNA, 118 nt
Filed under: Periophthalmus magnuspinnatus
Lineage: Eukaryota; Metazoa; Chordata; Actinopteri; Gobiiformes; Gobiidae
Source: RNAcentral
UAAGGUCAUAACUUCAUCUUGUCAAAGCCUGAUCUCGUCAGACCUCAGAAGCUAAGCAGGUCUGGGCUGGGUUAAUACUUGGAUGGGAGACGGUUGGGAUCACCAGGUGCCACGGUGU